This 431-nucleotide ribosomal RNA is filed under the name uncultured bacterium. RNAcentral describes it as "bacterial SSU rRNA". It matches the Rfam family "Bacterial small subunit ribosomal RNA", at positions 340 to 787 of the family's 1533-position model. The record is from RNAcentral.
UACGGAAGGCAGCAGUGGGGAAUUUUGCGCAAUGGGGAAACCCUGACGCAGCAACGCCGCGUGGAGGAUGAAAUCCCUUGGGAUGUAAACUCCUUUCGAUCGGGAAGAUAAUGACGGUACCGAGAGAAGAAGCCCCGGCUAACUUCGUGCCAGCAGCCGCGGUAAUACGAGGGGGCAAGCGUUGUUCGGAAUUAUUGGGCGUAAAGGGUGCGUAGGCGGUUUGAUAAGUUUGGUGUGAAAUCUCUGGGCUCAACCCCAGAGUCUGCAUCGAAAACUGUCGGGCUUGAGUAUGGGAGAGGUGAGUGGAAUUUUCCGGUGUAGCGGUGAAAUGCGUAGAUAUCGGAAGGAACACCUGUGGCGAAAGCGGCUCACUGGACCAUAACUGACGCUGAUGCACGAAAGCUAGGGGAGCAAACAGGGAUUAGAUACCC